Molecule: long non-coding RNA, 6463 nt
Organism: Bacillus rossius redtenbacheri
Lineage: Eukaryota; Metazoa; Arthropoda; Insecta; Phasmatodea; Bacillidae
Exons: 3
Source: RefSeq, a predicted model, not a curated record
CGGUAACGUUAUUUCUUCGCGGGUCUCCUUUUGCUAAGAGCAGCUUGUGAAGCAGUGCUGAGCCCUGCUAACUCUGUCACGAAUCGGUAUAAGGUUCACUAGCAGCAAGACACGACAGGAGGAUCCCGUGGGCCUUGUGUCCCACAGACCAUGCGUUUUUUGAAGCCACCCCCGCCUGCUCACACACCCUCUCUUCUCAGAAGUGGCUAGGAGCGACGACCGCUCGAGUGCGUUAACCGAACUCAAGGCCAUCUCAGGCUUGGCAGCCGCAGUUACGAUUCUGCUCCUUAACGACACCUAGCGACGGCUGUGGUAACUAAUGCCACUGGUGAGGCGUCGGCAGCGCCGACACUACCGCGCUCGCGCGGAGGUAACGACAACCUCUCUCCCCUCCUUAUGUCUCAGGCCGCUAGGUGGCACCACUGGUUACUCCAUUAACCCCCUAGCUUGACACUCUCGUCGGUCACUAGUCGAUUUAUUAGUACUUCCUCUCGCCACCAAAAGAUAGCGCCUCAGUCGCGCAGUCACUCCAGUAAGAUCUAAUUUUUUUAUGCCGGACACCUUCGGGUGGACUCGGUAAUUUUCGGCUCAGAGCCUAACCCCCCUCCCAUUCUCUAGAGACCCCGCGCUUAUGAUAUCCUGGUGAGAUCCCGCUCUGAACUUACUUCGGUGCGCGCCUCCUGACUGACUGGUACCGUUUGUAUCUGCGAUCUUCUGCGAAUCAUCGACAUCGUAUAUUAUGUAGUCUUCUCAGACUAAAGGGAUGGAGUCCCUAGCUAAAAUUAUUAACCAGUCAGUAGUUUAGUUGAAAGUAGAGAAACUUAGUAUUUUUAUAUUAAUAAUUUUUUUAAUUAAUCAUGAUGACUUCCGUGGCUACCGCGAAUCGUGGUUCGAGUUUGCGGAGACGAGACGCCCUCUCCUGAGCGCCAGGACCAACACCCUGUUUUGACAGGGUUCCAAGUUUGGGGCAACCAAAAUCCUCUGCCAGAACCUCUGGAGUCGGUUCCUGCGCAGUAUCCAACAUCAUUAGGCCUACUACCUUGAUCACCGUCUACCUACAGCCCCGGGUGAUACCCGCAUAAUUCUAUCUUUUUAUUCACGAACCCAAGAUUAGUGUAACCCAGUUAAGACAGCGGACAGUAAAAGGCAGUUCGAGGAGAAGAAAUUUAUAUUAUGUUUUGGAAGGACUAUAUGUACAAACUUUAUAGUUACUAAUGUUAAUUUCAUUCUUGUUUUUAAAUAUUUUAAUUUUUGUUAUACAUUAAGGGCCGGCUCUAUCGUAAAUAACGUUAAGGAAUAUCAUAUAAUAAGUGUAAUUGUGAGUUAUGUAAAUAAGAUCACUUAUCAAUGAAAAACAGUCUUUACUAAGGAAAAUUUAAUCUAUAAAAAAAAAGAACAAUGAUUAAUAAAAUAAGGAAGUCUAUAGACGUAACAGUUGUUUUUAUUUAUUUAAUAUAUAAUAACGAUCCUUUUACUCCCAAGUAUUUGUAGGGAGUCCCUAAAUUUUCUUUGUUUACUUCUAGUGUCGCCUCUGUUGUUGACUUUUAUAGUUAUUAAUUGAGGGCCUCAGUAAUCAAAGCUUCCAAAUCUUUUAACCUUAUUAUUUAAUUAUUCUUUAAGACACUAGGGGUAUUACAAAAUGGUAGCAGAGCGUGGUUACGUCUAUAGGCAUACCUAAUUUGAAAGGUCAUACCUAAAAUUAAAAUUAAAAAAAAAAAAUUGGAAAAAAAAUAUUUUUUUUAUAUUUUUUUUGUCACUUAGAAUCUUGUGGUAGUAAGUAAUUUGGGAACUGUCCGCUGAUACACGUAGUAGCUAAAUUGAACCUUGAAUUUUAAAAUUAUCAUAAGUUUUGCUGCACUUCAGUCUCUGUGUUUACAUCUGGGCGCGAGCCGAGAGGCAGCUGGCUCCCCACCCACGCGACUCAGCCCGCGCGCGUGGCUUAUCAACAGAGACGUGUCCGCUGGACAAGAUACUCCCUCCCCCCACACCCCUAGUUAAAGGCGCUGCGCGCCAAGGUCAGUCCUGCCGGCUGACGUGACGUUCAUUGUAGGUACCCCGUUGUGCAAGCUAACCUGACAGCUUGUUACACCCGAGUACACUAUUCAUUUCCCGACGCGCGUAAUAAUAAUAAUAAUAAAUUAUGAAGGCACAUACUUCCCACGCAAAAAAGCAAUUGUUUUAAUCAUAAGCUAUAUUUAAGUGUAUCUUCAUUUUUUGAGCAUAUAAUGUUUAAAUGCUGUGUUAUAUAUAUAUAUCUAUACAUAAUUAUAUUUAACAUUUUAAGAAAAACCUCAUGCGUAGUUUCAUAACAUUUAAAAGGGGUAUAGACAGUAAUUUAUAAACCUUCUAAUUUUAAUACUACUUUACGCCGAUCAUUUAAUAUUAGAAUUAAUGUAAGCAUAGUUACGCUAUUUACUAGUGUACCAAGUAGGCUUUACUAGACAUUAUUCAUAACAUAUAAAGAUUUAAAAUUUACGAGAAGUUUAUCUUGCAAAUUUAUCUAAGGUCAGAGACAAUUUUAAUGACUAUAAUAAGAAAUAUAAAUUUAUCGUAUUCUAUACAUACAGGUUCACAGUCAAUUUAAUUUUAAAAGUAAUGUAUGCAUUGAUGCUAUUGAUUAUUGUUUAUUACUUUUCCAAGAUUUGCAUCCAUCCAUGUGCCUAGCUUUUGUUUAGAUUUAUUUCCUGAGUACCCAAUGAAAGGUGUAUUCAUUUUAGCCUUCGACGAAAGGUUCCUAAAUUAAGUUAUUAUGGUGUAGGUUAAUUAACCGUUUUUUUUAUAAGCUAGUACGGAGGAUAUGAUUGCCUAGGAUUUUAAGUAAGUCCAUUUAUUUACAUUGACUAUUUUAACCAGUAACUGAACUGCAUAUUCAUAGUUUCUCAGACUGUAUUGAGUGUUAACUAAUUUUGUAUUAUUGUUUCAAUAAGAUUUCUAAUUUGUUUUAUUUUCAUUAAGAAUUAAUUUUUUUUUUCACUGUACAGCUACGCAAACAAUUUGAGCACAGUAGCUGAUACAUUUGUGCAUCUAGAUAUUUAAAGUUUUUUUUAAUUCUCUUAAUUGUCUUGCUCACUCACUCCAAAAUUAGUAGCUAUUUUACAUCAUUAUGAUAAUAUUAUUAUACUUGGUUUUGCAACUGUGACUUCCAAGGUGGCAUUAAGGUUUAGUUUUUGUGUAUUUCUAAAGUCGAACUAGGUCACGCUCGCCACAGUGCAGCACUAUAUUCAGCCGUUAAAUCGCGAGAGGUCCUCUGAGCCAAUGAGCCAAGACCUGGUCCUCUGAGUGAAAUAUCUCAUGACCGUUUUCGAGUGUUCUUUGGGUUCCAUUCCCACCACUCAUCUUUGGACGGCCUAUGUUCAAACCCCCUCUCAGGCAGUGUGAACUUUUGUGCCCGCCAUGGAAGAUCCGACGGCGAAAUUAAUUAAGUUAAAUUUACUUAUGUUUAUUACGAUUAUAAUAUUGGAUGUUACGAUUUUAUAUUUAUAUUAAUUAAAUUUGAGUGCGAGGAUUAAUAUUAAUUAUUAUUUUAUUAUGACUACAAUUAAUAACUGGAGAACUGAACUUUUAAAAUAUAGUUUAUCAAAUAAAAUAUUUUUCAGAAUCUAAAUAUUAUAGUUUUUACACAGCCUGUAUUUGUUUUAAUCUGUUUUCUAAAUUCAUCUAAAUUGGUUGAUCUUUCGGGCUUCGAACCCGAUCUAACUCAGGGUGAAAUUCCCUCGUAGGUAUCUUUGCUUCAGCCUGUUGGUCUGAUCAACCAUCAGAGCUUGAACAUAUUGAUCCUAUGUAAGUUAACAAAUGUAGUUUUCGGGACUGAGGUGUACUUAGCUUUUUGAGCAAGUAUAAAAUUAUAUAAUUUAGUUUGAUCCAUCGUCAGAGUGUGCCGGGCUUGGACCCAUGCCUUCGACUUCUUAUGGACAAACGAAUAUGUACAGGGGUUUUCAUUCCCAUUUAGUUUGUAAGUUACGGGUCACCAUACCCAUAUACAGGGGUUCCAAUCCCCAUAUGUAGCUGAGUGCUCAAGGACGCAUUUCCCUUGUUUUGGCCUCAGUAAUUUCGGCUUUCCCUCACAGUGCCCACUUGUGAAGCUACAUGAUGUCCAACAUCUGAGAUCGACGUAAUUCAAUAUUUACUUUAUUAACUAAUUAUGUGAGAUCAUUAUAUAUAAUUUUAGAUUUAUCAUAUGCUAAAUAUUAAAAAAAAAGUCUAUUUUGAGUCUCUUGACCUAACAAUAUUUUUUAACUUACUUUAAUAAUAUUACACCCAAAAUAAUUAUCUAUAAUUAUUUAUUUUCUUUAAGAAUAGGUGUUUUUCAAAUAAUUUAGUUUAAAGUGACCCCACUAGUAAUUGAGAUUAUCUGUAAGGUAUUACCACCUACAUUAACAAAAACGUUUAUUCAUUUGCCUCUAUCUCGACCCGACUACCUCUCUUAACUCAACGCGACUGCAGGUGCCGACGCGCCACAGCCGUGCGUCAAAUGUUAGUAGUAGGAUACAGGCGAACCUGGUAACUCGUCCUACUGAAGUUUUUGGUUUCUUGUUUUUGCUUUCCCCUAAGCUCCGCUUUAACGCGGGGGAGUAUGUGCCGUGUAUUAAGUAUUUAGGCACGUUUUAUUUAAAAAAUUUUGUAAUCUUAAAUAUUUUUGGAAAUAUUUUUUUUUCUCUCAUCUUAUUUUCUUUACGGCCAGGCCCUCAGCCUCUGUUCUCAGAGGCGAGCUGUUUUUCUUUCCCAGCCUCAUGCUAGGCUAGCAUUCUGGCUAAUAUUUCUCCCUUCUCCAGGCACGUCGGGGCCGGUAACGUUAUUUCUUCGCGGGUCUCCUUUUGCUAAGAGCAGCUUGUGAAGCAGUGCUGAGCCCUGCUAACUCUGUCACGAAUCGGUAUAAGGUUCACUAGCAGCAAGACACGACAGGAGGAUCCCGUGGGCCUUGUGUCCCACAGACCAUGCGUUUUUUGAAGCCACCCCCGCCUGCUCACACACCCUCUCUUCUCAGAAGUGGCUAGGAGCGACGACCGCUCGAGUGCGUUAACCGAACUCAAGGCCAUCUCAGGCUUGGCAGCCGCAGUUACGAUUCUGCUCCUUAACGACACCUAGCGACGGCUGUGGUAACUAAUGCCACUGGUGAGGCGUCGGCAGCGCCGACACUACCGCGCUCGCGCGGAGGUAACGACAACCUCUCUCCCCUCCUUAUGUCUCAGGCCGCUAGGUGGCACCACUGGUUACUCCAUUAACCCCCUAGCUUGACACUCUCGUCGGUCACUAGUCGAUUUAUUAGUACUUCCUCUCGCCACCAAAAGAUAGCGCCUCAGUCGCGCAGUCACUCCAGUAAGAUCUAAUUUUUUUAUGCCGGACACCUUCGGGUGGACUCGGUAAUUUUCGGCUCAGAGCCUAACCCCCCUCCCAUUCUCUAGAGACCCCGCGCUUAUGAUAUCCUGGUGAGAUCCCGCUCUGAACUUACUUCGGUGCGCGCCUCCUGACUGACUGGUACCGUUUGUAUCUGCGAUCUUCUGCGAAUCAUCGACAUCGUAUAUUAUGUAGUCUUCUCAGACUAAAGGGAUGGAGUCCCUAGCUAAAAUUAUUAACCAGUCAGUAGUUUAGUUGAAAGUAGAGAAACUUAGUAUUUUUAUAUUAAUAAUUUUUUAAAUUAAUCAUGAUGACUUCCGUGGCUACCGCGAAUCGUGGUUCGAGUUUGCGGAGACGAGACGCCCUCUCCUGAGCGCCAGGACCAACACCCUGUUUUGACAGGGUUCCAAGUUUGGGGCAACCAAAAUCCUCUGCCAGAACCUCUGGAGUCGGUUCCUGCGCAGUAUCCAACAUCAUUAGGCCUACUACCUUGAUCACCGUCUACCUACAGCCCCGGGUGAUACCCGCAUAAUUCUAUCUUUUUAUUCACGAACCCAAGAUUAGUGUAACCCAGUUAAGACAGCGGACAGUAAAAGGCAGUUCGAGGAGAAGAAAUUUAUAUUAUGUUUUGGAAGGACUAUAUGUACAAACUUUAUAGUUACUAAUGUUAAUUUCAUUCUUGUUUUUAAAUAUUUUAAUUUUUGUUAUACAUUAAGGGCCGGCUCUAUCGUAAAUAACGUUAAGGAAUAUCAUAUAAUAAGUGUAAUUGUGAGUUAUGUAAAUAAGAUCACUUAUCAAUGAAAAACAGUCUUUACUAAGGAAAAUUUAAUCUAUAAAAAAAAAGAACAAUGAUUAAUAAAAUAAGGAAGUCUAUAGACGUAACAGUUGUUUUUAUUUAUUUAAUAUAUAAUAACGAUCCUUUUACUCCCAAGUAUUUGUAGGGAGUCCCUAAAUUUUCUUUGUUUACUUCUAGUGUCGCCUCUGUUGUUGACUUUUAUAGUUAUUAAUUGAGGGCCUCAGUAAUCAAAGCUUCCAAAUCUUUUAACCUUAUUAUUUAAUUAUUCUUUAAGACACUAGGGGUAUUACAGGCUUCAGGCAAGCGGGCGGGCGUAACCCGCACUACUUCCGA